CCUACGGGAGGCAGCAGUGGGGAAUAUUGGACAAUGGGGGGAACCCUGAUCCAGCCAUGCCGCGUGUGUGAAGAAGGCCCUCGGGUUGUAAAGCACUUUCAGUGAGGAAGAACGCCUGGUGGUUAAUACCCAUCAGGAAAGACAUCACUCACAGAAGAAGCACCGGCUAACUCCGUGCCAGCAGCCGCGGUAAUACGGAGGGUGCGAGCGUUAAUCGGAAUUACUGGGCGUAAAGCGCGCGUAGGUGGCUUGAUAAGCCGGUUGUGAAAGCCCCGGGCUCAACCUGGGAACGGCAUCCGGAACUGUCAAGCUAGAGUGCAGGUGAGGAAGGUAGAAUUCCCGGUGUAGCGGUGAAAUGCGUAGAGAUCGGGAGGAAUACCAGUGGCGAAGGCGGCCUUCUGGACUGACACUGACACUGAGGUGCGAAAGCGUGGGUAGCAAACAGGAUUAGAUACCCUUGUAGUC
RNAcentral lists this ribosomal RNA (465 nucleotides) under Vreelandella stevensii. RNAcentral's name for it is "partial 16S ribosomal RNA". It matches the Rfam family "Bacterial small subunit ribosomal RNA", at positions 338 to 795 of the family's 1533-position model. Lineage: Bacteria; Pseudomonadati; Pseudomonadota; Gammaproteobacteria; Oceanospirillales; Halomonadaceae. The record is from RNAcentral.